CCGAUUGUAGAAGGCUCCUAUGAAGCAGCUCUCUAGGAUAUUGCUCCCUUGUUUCCACCAAAGUGACAUCUUCUCGUGCUUCGACAAACCACUCGGCUAUCCAUAAUCUGACGAUGUCCGACAUGUGGAACGCAUAGUUUUCGCGCAAUAAGGCACAGUAGAGAAAGCAUCGCUUGAGAUGGGCCGGAAGGUUGGUAGCUCAGAUACAGUGCUCCGUGCCCACCUUCGGGAAGCCCGGUCCGUGACCAUGCGGCGCUGCGGAGAACUUCCUCCCACGCAUUUCUGAGGGACCAGCCAUCCUCCGGAGGCAACAGCUUCAUCUCGUGGACGUGGGCCGUCGCGAUCCCUUCGUUUCUGGUGGUCACCAGCACCCUGCUCCUCGCAAAGGAUUGCGGUGCAAGUCGUCCCAGAUCUCAGCCCUCCACACCUCAUCCAACACCAGCAAGAACUUGUUCCCUUUCAGGAGACCCUCCACCAUGGGCUCGAGCAAAGUCCGGCUCUGUGCUCCACCGUGACUUCCCCCGGCGCUGGUGACGAUAUCCCUGAGAAGAUCCGUCUCCGUGAACUCUUGGGACACGAACACCAUAUGAAGGUGAAUGUGAAGGACACAAAUAUGUUAGAAAUUGUACCUUCAUGGAGGAUUCAUUAAGCAAUACUGUUUUGUGUUCUUACGACUUUAAGAUAAAAGAAAAGAAAAAGAAAAAAAAGACUGGAUCGGCUUUGUGUUCUGUUCUUGAGUGGAUGAUCAGAAUCUGAAUUGAUGGUACUAAAUAGCAAGUUCGUGAUUCUCAAUAAUGGACAGAAAGAAAAGAUGAGGCAGAUUAGGCUUCAAAUAAAUGCAAUUUUCUUCGAAUGGUUGUGCUGA
This is a non-coding RNA of Musa acuminata subsp. malaccensis (wild Malaysian banana), 865 nucleotides long. Lineage: Eukaryota; Viridiplantae; Streptophyta; Magnoliopsida; Zingiberales; Musaceae. The record is from RefSeq and is a predicted model, not a curated record.